RNAcentral lists this ribosomal RNA (301 nucleotides) under uncultured bacterium. RNAcentral's name for it is "partial 16S ribosomal RNA". It matches the Rfam family "Bacterial small subunit ribosomal RNA", at positions 509 to 807 of the family's 1533-position model. The record is from RNAcentral.
CAGUAGCCGCGGUAAUACGAGGGGGGCAAGCGUUGUUCGGAAUUAUUGGGCGUAAAGGGUGCGUAGGCGGUUUGAUAAGUUUGGUGUGAAAUCUCUGGGCUCAACCCAGAGUCUGCAUCGAAAACUGUCGGGCUUGAGUAUGGGAGAGGUGAGUGGAAUUUCCGGUGUAGCGGCGAAAUGCGUAGAUAUCAGGAGGAACACCUGUGGCGAAAGCGGCUCACUGGACCAUAACUGACGCUGAGGCACGAAAGCUAGGGGAGCAAACAGGAUUAGAUACCCGGGUAGUCCCUGUCUCUUAUAC